AUGCAUGUGGAUGGAGAUGGUGCAGAUGUGACAUUUAGUGUUCGCGGCCAAUUGUUCAAUGCCCACAGAUGUUUGUUGGCUGCACGGUCUCCGGUUUUCAAGGCAGAGCUCUUUGGUCCGAUGAAAGAAAACUCAACUCGGUGCAUCGAGAUUGACGACAUUGAGCCACAAGUAUUCGAGUCGCUUCUUCACUUUAUAUACACAGAUUGCAUGAUGGAUCGUUAUGAAGAAGGCAAAACUGAAAAUCUACAACACCUACUAGUUGCGGCGGAUCUAUAUGGAGUGGACAGGUUGAGGGUUAUGUGUGAAGGUAAAUUGUGUGAUAGCAUCGACUUGAAGACAGUCACGACAACGCUAACUUUAGCAGAGCAACAUAACUGCAGGGUUCUCAAAAAAGCUUGUAUUGAGUUUCUAGCCUCAGGGAAGACACUUGAAGCUGUGAAGAAAACAGAUUCAGAUGUAUUCAAACAUCUGGAGGCAAGCUGUCCUCAUCUCAUGCAGGAGAUUUUA
This 510-nucleotide ribosomal RNA is filed under the name Triticum aestivum (bread wheat). RNAcentral describes it as "partial small subunit ribosomal RNA". Lineage: Eukaryota; Viridiplantae; Streptophyta; Magnoliopsida; Poales; Poaceae. The record is from RNAcentral.